This 249-nucleotide long non-coding RNA is filed under the name Gossypium raimondii (Peruvian cotton). RNAcentral describes it as "long non-coding RNA (GRAI_LNC003256)". Lineage: Eukaryota; Viridiplantae; Streptophyta; Magnoliopsida; Malvales; Malvaceae. The record is from RNAcentral.
CUGAAGACAGUCACAUAAGGUUUGCACCAUUGUUGUUUGUUUAGGCAGUCAAGUCUGCAUUUCGUAGUUUGCCUUUUGAAUUAUGUUCUUGGAUAUUCAACUAUCAAUUGUAUCAGAGAGGAUCUUGGGAGAUACAAAUUAAAACAACCAUGAGAUUUGCAACCUCAUGCUCUGCUUACCACAUGGUUGUUCUUGUUUUGAUUUCUUUUUUGUUACUCAUCUCUUUUGAUUUUCCUUUGUUGCAUAACA